UCCAACAAACUGUUAUCAUGGCGGAUCCCAUCAGAACUCCGCAAUUAAGCGUGCUUGGGCGAGAGUAGUACUAGGAUGGGUGACCUCCUGGGAAGUCCUCGUGUUGCAC
Molecule: ribosomal RNA, 109 nt
Organism: Vigna angularis (adzuki bean)
Lineage: Eukaryota; Viridiplantae; Streptophyta; Magnoliopsida; Fabales; Fabaceae
Source: Rfam